Molecule: ribosomal RNA, 221 nt
Filed under: Polystigma pusillum
Lineage: Eukaryota; Fungi; Ascomycota; Sordariomycetes; Phyllachorales; Phyllachoraceae
Description: partial 28S ribosomal RNA
Source: RNAcentral
GGUUGACUCUCGGAUCAGGUAGGAAUACUCCGCUGAACUUAAGCAUAUCAAAAAGGCGGGAGAGACACAAAUAAAAUUGGACUCCCAAUUUACUAACUUGAACUUCAAGUAUAUUUUAGUUCCAGGGCCCAUUUUUUUUUCAAAUUGUAUUUAAAGACAAUGGUAGAUGGGCUACCACGUAGGUUAAGGAUUCCAAAAGGGGAAGAAGGUGGUUUGGGUGG